This is a small RNA of Polaribacter sp. KT25b, 76 nucleotides long. It matches the Rfam family "Flavo-1 RNA". The record is from Rfam. Lineage: Bacteria; Pseudomonadati; Bacteroidota; Flavobacteriia; Flavobacteriales; Flavobacteriaceae.
UUGCAUUAAGGAUUGACGUGAAAAUCCUUUUUGUGAAGAAUGAACAAAAAGAUUGUAACAGAAAGCCCGACUUUUC